Molecule: ribosomal RNA, 305 nt
Filed under: Streptomyces sp. HSDT3
Lineage: Bacteria; Bacillati; Actinomycetota; Actinomycetes; Kitasatosporales; Streptomycetaceae
Description: bacterial SSU rRNA
Rfam family: Bacterial small subunit ribosomal RNA
Source: RNAcentral
AGGAGAAGCGCCGGCUAACUACGUGCCAGCUGCCGCGGUAAUACGUAAGGCGCGAGCGUUGUCCGGAAUUAUUGGGCAUAAAGAGCUCGUAGGCGGUCUGUCGCGUCUGAUGUGAAAGCCCCGGGAUUAACCCCGGGUCUGCAUUCGAUACGGACAGACUACAGUGAGGUAGGGGAGAUCGGAAUUCCUGCGGUAGCGGUAAAAUGCGCAGAUAUCACGAGGAACACCGGUGGCGAACGCGGAUCUCUGGGCCAUUACUGACGCUGAGGAGCGAAAGCGUGGGGAGCGAACAGGAUUAGAUACCC